RNAcentral lists this ribosomal RNA (434 nucleotides) under uncultured Lachnospiraceae bacterium. RNAcentral's name for it is "partial 16S ribosomal RNA". It matches the Rfam family "Bacterial small subunit ribosomal RNA", at positions 341 to 792 of the family's 1533-position model. Lineage: Bacteria; Bacillati; Bacillota; Clostridia; Lachnospirales; Lachnospiraceae. The record is from RNAcentral.
ACGGAAGGCAGCAGUGGGGAAUAUUGCACAAUGGGGGAAACCCUGAUGCAGCGACGCCGCGUGAGUGAAGAAGUAUUUCGGUAUGUAAAGCUCUAUCAGCAGGAAAGAAAAUGACGGUACCUGACUAAGAAGCCCCGGCUAACUACGUGCCAGCAGCCGCGGUAAUACGUAGGGGGCAAGCGUUAUCCGGAUUUACUGGGUGUAAAGGGAGCGUAGACGGCUUUGCAAGUCUGAAGUGAAAGCCCGGGGCUCAACCCCGGAACUGCUUUGGAAACUGUAGAGCUAGAGUGCAGGAGAGGUAAGUGGAAUUCCUAGUGUAGCGGUGAAAUACGUAGAUAUUAGGAGGAACACCAGUGGCGAAGGCGGCUUACUGGACUGUAACUGACGUUGAGGCUCGAAGGCGUGGGGAGCAAACAGGAUUAGAUACCCUGGUA